CUCUCCACAAAAGUCACUGAGCUUGGUGCUCGUCACCCCAUCACCGGCAGCCGCCCCAUCCGCACGGUUCUCCAGGGAGAGCACCAACCACUCACGGGGACCUGGCUUUGCUGAUUGCCUUUUUCCGGGGGAAAACCACACUUGUCCCCUCUUUAGAGCCAGAAGUAGGCUUGCUGGAGUCCCUGUGCGUGAGGCUCCUACCCUCCCAGGAAACUGGGAAAACUCAAAGAUGCAGCUCCCGGCUGCGUGGGGAUCUAACUGGGUUGUACAACUGGCCAGAGGCGUCUUUAGCCGUCAAAGAGAUGGACGCAAAAGGAGGUAGGGAAAGAACUUACAUGUUCUCUAAAGAGAAUGCGCUAAGAAAAGGGAGGAGAAAAUCUGUUUCCUUUUUCUGCACCUGGGAGUAUUAACCUUGUCUUAUUUCUAAUGUGCAUUUUCCUGUACAGACGUCCCUGCCGGCCACUACUCAGAGCCCAGGUGAGGGACUCCCAAGGCCCAGGGGGUUCAAGGGCCUUCCUGAACAAAAGCGUUUGGGGAGGGGGGUGUCUCUCAAGAGACUGCAUUUCCACAACCAGCCCCCCUGUGAGGUCUGGGCUGCUGCUGGGGACGUCAGCCUUUGCAUCUAGGCCCUGCAGGGUGUUGGGGGAGAUGGGACGGUGUUUCUCUUGCAGCCCCUCGAACGUGAGCCCCUGGCAAAGGAGGAGGAAGGGGCUGGAGCUGUCGGAAGUUCUCCCAGAGAGCCCUGGGAGAUCCUGGACAUGGUCCCAGUGAAGGCAAGAGGCUGGGAGACCUCCUCUGAGUAGGCUGUGGGUGAAGUGAGUGUUCUUGCAGUAAAGUAAGCCCGAGAAAAUAAAACGUCAGGAACAUCGUAAAGAGGAGGAAAUGUAAUGCUGUCUUAUAUUUAUUGGGAAGAAAUCCGCAGAUUUUAUUUAUUUGAGAGAGUGAGUGCGCACGCGCGCGAGAGAGCAUAGAGGCAGAGGCAGAGGGAGAAGCAGACUCCCCGCCGAACGGAGAGCGCAACGCAGGGCUCGAUCCCAGGACCCCGAGACCAUGACCCGAGCCGAAGGCAGACACCCAACCGACUGAGCCACCCAGGUGCCCCAGCCCUUACUUCUUGAAAUCAGUUUGUUGAAGAAGCAGAACUCCUAUGCGCGAAUCAAGGAUCGUAAGCCAGCCUGGUUGUGAUCCCCGCCCCCCAUCCCUGCUCAGGCAGCUCCAGGACCGUCGUGAUCACGAACAAAUAGGAGAAAGUGCUAGGACUUUAAAUCUCAAGUCUGAACGUCGUAAUUAAAAUUGCCAAGUCCCAGAUAAAAACGAACACCGAACACCUCUCCGGGUGAAAAUGCCUUUCGUCUUGCUUGCCUUCGAGGAAGGAAUUGUUCAGCU
Zalophus californianus (California sea lion) is the source of this 1386-nucleotide long non-coding RNA. RefSeq lists it as uncharacterized. NCBI's taxonomy places the organism in Eukaryota, Metazoa, Chordata, Mammalia, Carnivora, Otariidae. The transcript has 3 exons. The record is from RefSeq and is a predicted model, not a curated record.